ACACAUGCAGUCGACGUGAAGCUCUUCGGAGUGAGUAGAGUGGCGGACGGGUGAGUAACGCGUAGGAAUCUACCUAGUAGUGGGGGACAACAUGUGGAAACGCAUGCUAAUACCGCAUACGCCCUACGGGGGAAAGUGGGGGAUCUUCGGACCUCACGCUAUUAGAUGAGCCCGCGUUGGAUUAGCUUGUUGGUGGGGUAAUGGCCUACCAAGGCGACGAUCCAUAGCUGGUUUGAGAGGAUGAUCAGCCACACUGGGACUGAGACACGGCCCAGACUCCUACGGGAGGCAGCAGUGGGGAAUAUUGGACAAUGGGCGCAAGCCUGAUCCAGCAAUGCCGCGUGUGUGAAGAAGGCCUGAGGGUUGUAAAGCACUUUCAAUAGAGACGAAAAGCCUAGGAUUAAUACCCCUGGGUCUUGACUUAACCUAUAGAAGAAAACACCGGCUAACUCCCGUGCCAGC
This 462-nucleotide ribosomal RNA is filed under the name uncultured bacterium. RNAcentral describes it as "bacterial SSU rRNA". It matches the Rfam family "Bacterial small subunit ribosomal RNA", at positions 51 to 512 of the family's 1533-position model. The record is from RNAcentral.